Molecule: ribosomal RNA, 253 nt
Filed under: uncultured bacterium
Lineage: Bacteria
Description: partial 16S ribosomal RNA
Rfam family: Bacterial small subunit ribosomal RNA
Source: RNAcentral
GACGAACCGAGCGAACGUUGUUCGGAAUUACUGGGCGUAAAGGGCGCGUAGGCGGCCCGGCAAGUCAGGCGUGAAAGCCCCGGGCUCAACCUGGGAACCGCGCUUGAGACUGGCGGGCUAGAGUUCGGGAGAGGAUGGUGGAAUUCCCAGUGUAGAGGUGAAAUUCGUAGAUAUUGGGAAGAACACCGAUGGCGAAGGCAGCCAUCUGGACCGACACUAACGCUGAGGCGCGAAAGCGUGGGGAGCAAACAGG